RNAcentral lists this long non-coding RNA (2452 nucleotides) under Triticum aestivum (bread wheat). Its description in RNAcentral is "long non-coding RNA (TAES_LNC013670)". The record is from RNAcentral. Lineage: Eukaryota; Viridiplantae; Streptophyta; Magnoliopsida; Poales; Poaceae.
UUCCAUAAACCAUAAUGCCAAUUUUGGACCAAGACAAUAUUUCCACAGUGCCGUACAUUACACAAAUCACUCAAUAUGCAACCAUACAUAGGUAUCUACAACCUAGAGGUUUAUAAUAUCCUCCAUAAAUGGUAAUAUACAACAUAUAUUGACAAAAUAUAUCACACAUCAAGGAUUAGGAAUCGGUACAAUACAAUUUACAUCAACAAAACAUAUAAACUACUAAGGCUGCCACUCGUGUUCUUGUUGUCGACCCUCCUGAUUGCAACUAUGUCAUGGCGUAUUGUGAUGGACAGCACCAAGCAACCUCCUACCAUAUUCACAACAACAUUAGAUAUCUGUAGAUAUGAAUAGAUAGUAGAAGAAGAAACUUAAAAAACAAAUUACAUGCUUUCUAAAAUUCUGAAAUCUUAUUGUGCCUACAAAUGAGAAUAACGAAGUAUCUAGUACUCCCUCCGUCAAAAAUAAGUGACUCGACUUUGUACUAACUUUAGUGUAAAAUUAGUACAAAGUUGAGUCACUUAUUUUGAGAUGGAGGGAGUAUAAAACAACAAUAAACAUGAGGUUGCUACAAAUUAAUCCAAAUAGAAAUAUCUCAAACAAAAGUCUAAUCACGUUGGGCUAUAAGGGACAACAUAAUAGAACAUACAUUGCAGAACUCAAGUACUAUAGCAGUAGCAUUUGAGGCUAUAUAAAUCGAACAAAAAAUGGCAUCACAAACAAACUAUAUCCAUGGCGCGGAGCCACUGCUCGUCGACCUGGCUGGUGUAAGUUUCUAAUGUUCAUGUCUCAACAAGUUUACACAUGAAACUAAAUAUUUAUCAAGGCACUGAUAGUAGUGAACAACACUUACAUGCCAAGUUAACUACAAAUGGCAUGCAAAAUAACUAAGAGCCAUGGUCACUAAUAGAUCUAUAGAACUAAGUGGCAAAUGGUUCUGUUAAGAGGUACUGAGAUGGUGGUUAGAAUGUGAGAUAAGGGAAGGAGAUAGGUUAUUGUUCCUGGAAAACUACUUGCAAGAAAACUGCCAUGGUUAAGAACUAAUUAUGUGCAAUUUUUCUUAUGUAAACAUAUACACCUAUCUACGUGUGAGAAUAGACCUAAUAGGAAUACUAGAUUAACAAGAAUAGCCAAGUGUACUCUAUAUUACGAAAAUAUAUUUUACAAUGAAUCUAAUGAAACUAAUUCUGUGGUGCAGAUGUUCAUAUAGCUUCCUAUAAAUUUCAUCAAAUUCAAUUACUGUGAAAUUGAGGAAGCAAUUAUAAAUAAUAGCAUUCAAUGGUAGAGAAAACAAGUUUUAAAUGAAAUGUUCAAGGUGGACACACUUUCAAAUUUACACUACACUUAAAUUAUUUGACAAGGAACACUAUUUCACAAUACAGAAAUAUGUCAGACAAGGAACACUGUUUCCACACUACAUAAAGACAUAAAUGCUAGAACUUAAAGCGACAUCCAGUAAUACAUAAAGUGGAUAACUCCCUUCUCCCGAUAUAUAAAAAAGCCUUCUGGAAGUGAUUGAACUGGUACAAAAUUCCCUUUUAUUAGGCAGAAAGAAGAGGUACAAUUCUACUUUACUCUUUUGGUUCUGGGAAGAUACAAAAAUGCACAGCAGAAUAGCAGAUACGAUUUUGUCCUAAGUUUAUUAAGGUACAAGCAUAAUCAAGACACAUGAACACCAGGUGAUGGAUGGUCGAAUCAAAACACAUUGGAAAAUAGGUCUAUUAUAUUCAACAUAGCAAUUGUUAUGCAAAAACUUCAGAAACAAAUUUGAGGUUCAUAUAGCAAUAUAUCACCCAGAAGUGUUAGACCUUCGCCAAACAUUUUCCUGUCCAUCAGCUGCAGAACUAAAACCUGAGAAAUGACAAUGUUAAACAAUGCAUUAUGUUUAGUACAGAAUGAAUAAGUUGGAGAUGAUGCGAACAUGAGAUGUGCUAAGAUAAGUAUGAUACUUUUCCUGUUUGAAGAUCAACCUUUCGCACUGAUUACUGUCAAACAUAAAAGAUGGCAGUACAUAUUCAGUGAUUAGGAGAACCAGUUAAUAAUACAAGAAAAAAGGAACAUACCCAUCAUGCAUCAUGAAAGAAUUAUGCAUCGAUCAUCCAUUAGGGGUCCAAGAUCAUGUUAUAAGUUCUCAAUAUAAUUCAGAAUAGUUGCCACUUGAGAGUUAUCAAUACCAACAGCAGUCAACUAAAACUACAGCUACCUGAUUGUCACUGUAAUUUUAAUCAAAACAAAAAAGGAUCAGACAAUUUACUGACUAUAGCCUAAUUUGGUACUGGAUUAUAAAUCUCAUACUAGAGGGAUUAAUAUUGGGAAAUAUUAUAUCAUGAUUCCUGAGAGGAAAGAUACAAAAUCAAGCAGAGGAGGGAUGCAGAGGUCCUAUGCUCACCGGAGAGGAUUGUAGGCAAGGCAGCGGUUGCAGUACAGGUCUAACACUGCCGCCGCGCGAAAG